AUGGAGAAGAAAUCAGUAGCUGCCUUGUCCUUCCUCUUCCUCGUUCUCUUUGUUGCACAAGAAAUAGUGGUGACUGAGGCAAGAACUUGUGAGCAUUUGGCUGAUACAUACAGGGGACCAUGCUUCACGAAUGCUAGCUGUGACGAUCAUUGCAAGAACAAAGCACACUUAAUUAGUGGCACGUGCCAUAAUUAUCAAUGUUUCUGCACUCAAAACUGUUAA
Molecule: long non-coding RNA, 222 nt
Filed under: Vicia faba (fava bean)
Lineage: Eukaryota; Viridiplantae; Streptophyta; Magnoliopsida; Fabales; Fabaceae
Source: RNAcentral